This 4922-nucleotide long non-coding RNA is filed under the name Sus scrofa (pig). RNAcentral's name for it is "lncRNA (ENSSSCG00060014036.1)". Lineage: Eukaryota; Metazoa; Chordata; Mammalia; Artiodactyla; Suidae. The record is from RNAcentral.
ACUCCAAUUAGACCCCAGCCAGGAACUUACAUAUGUUGCAGUUGUGGCCCUAAAAUGCAAAAAAAAAAAAAAAAAAAAAAAAGAAUUUUUUACUUAGGUUCUCUUCUAGCAGUGUUAUUGUGUCAUAUUUUACAUGUAAAUCUUUAAGCCUAAGUUCCCAAUGUGGCUCAGUGGUUAACAAACCCAACCAGUAUCCACAAGGACACAGGUUUGAUUCCUGGCCUCACUUAGCGGGUUAAAGAUCCAGCAUUGCUGUCAGCUGUGGUGUAGGUAACAGAUGCAGCUCAGAUCCUGCAUUACUGUGGCUGUGGAAUAGGCUGGCAGCCAUAGCUCCAAUCAGACCCCUAGCCUGGGAACCUCCAUAUGCCGUGGGCAUGGCCCUAAAAAGACAAAAAGACAAUAGAUAAAUAAAUAAAUAAAUCUUUAAGCCAUUCUGAGUAUUUUUGCGCAUGGUGAGAGGGUGUGUUCUAACUUCAUUGAUUUACAUGCAACUGUCCAACUUUCCCAGCAGCACUUGCUACAGAGACUGUCUUUUUUCCAUUUUAUGUUCUUGCCUCCUUUGCUGAAGAUGAAUUGACCUAACUUGUGUGGGUUUAUUUCUGGGCUUUCUAUUCUGUUCCACUGAUCUGUAUGUCUGUUUUUGUGCCAAUACCAUCCUGUUUUGAAUACUGUUGCUUUGUAGUAUUGUCUGAAGUCUGGGAGGAUUUUGUCUCCAGCUUUGUUCUUUUUCUUCAGGGUUGCUUCGGCAAUUCAACGUCUUUCAUGGUUCCAUAAAAAUUUCAGGAUUAUUUGUUCUAGUUCUGUGAAAGAUGCCAUGGGUAAUUUGAUAAGGAUCUCACUAAAUCUGUAGAUUUCUUUGGAUAGUAUGGCCAUUUAAACAAUAUUAAUUCUUCCAAUCCCAGAGCAUGGGAUAUCUUUCCAUUUCUUUGUAUCAUCUUCAAUUUCCUUUAUUUAUAUUUUAUAGGUCUCAGCAUAUAAAUCUUUCACCUCCUUGGUCAGGUUUAUUCCUGAGUAUUUUAUUUUUUAGGGUUGAAAUUUUAAAAGAUUUUGUUUUUAUUUUUGCAGUAUGUAGAAAUUCCUGGGCCAGGAAUUAAGCCCAUGCCACAGCAGUGACCCAGGCUACUUCAGUGACAAAGCUGGAUCCUUAAUCCCCUGUGUCACAAGAGAACUCUGGAAGCAUUGUUUUUCACACUCCCUUUUUGAUAAUUCAUUGUUAGUGUAAAGAAAUCUGACAGAUUCCUGUAUGUUAAUCUUGUAUCCUGUACCUUGCUGAAUUCAUUUAUAAGCUGUGGUCAUUUUUCUGUGGAGUUUUAAAGGUUUUCUAUUUAUAGUAUCAAGUUAUCUGCAUAAAAUGAAAAUUUAUCUCUUCCUUUCCAAUUUGAAUAACUUUCAUUUCUUUUUCUUGUCUGAUUGCUGUUGCUAGGAUUUCCAAUACUAUGUUGAAUAGAAGAAGUGACAGUGGGUAUCCUUGCCUUGUUCUGAACUUUAGUGGNAGGAAGUGACAGUGGCUUUUCAUGAUUGAGUAUUAUAUUGUCAUAGAUAGCUUUUAUUAUGUCGAGAUAUGCUCCCUCUAUACUCACUUUGCAUAAGAGUUUUUAUCAUGAAUGAAUGUUGAAUUUUGUCAAAUGCUUUUUCUGCAUCUAUUGAGAUGAUCAUGUGGUUUUUGACAUAGGACUUUCAACUCGAAGGCAAAUUCACUCAAAUUUUCUUCCGUGAAGUACAAAAUAAAAUGAUCAACUGCAGUACCUAAGACCACAAAGCUCACCUGAGGGAAUUUUAAAAGUAUAUAAAAGUCUAUAAAGGGAAUAAAGCCUUUAAGCUGCUUACAAUCUAUUUAAGGGGGAAAUUAAACGAUUAUGAAAAAUCUAGGCAAGCAUUUAUUUCAAAGUAAGGUGUGGAUACAUCUGUAGCAACAAGGAACAGAAUUUCUGGAUGGAUAGUAUAGGAGGGAAAGAACACUUUGUAAAGGUAGAGGCCUUUGAGUAAGAAUGGCUUCCUGGAGGUGAUCGGGGAGUGGGCCAUGAAGAAGUUACAAACCUGGAUAGGUGCAGAAGAGUAAGAAAGGUGUUCUAACAAAGAAAAACCAUGGGACUAAAACAUGGAGGAACCACCCCAAUUUCACAGCAUUAUAAAGACUAACAAGACACACAUUGGUUGUCUGAGGUGCAUAUUGCAUGAAUACCUUCAAUGCUCACCUAAGGAGUUUGAAGUUGAUCUGACUAGUACCAAGGAGUUGCCAUAGAUCCCAGAGCACCUCCUGUGUGUCUUGUAACAGCUAAAUGGACGGAAUAAGGGAAAGCAACUAGCAUGGUGGUAGCUGGCAGGUAAUGCACAGUGAUUGUUAGUGUGUGGCAGUGUUAUUCCUGAAUGAGGGUGAGACAUUAAGACCUCGAUGCUCAGGAACAGUGAUCUAUGCAAGAUGAACCCAAGGCAGGGAGAACUGUGGCUGGUGUGGCAAUCUGGCCACAGGAUGACUAGCAUGACUUACCACUGACAAUGCAGACCAUAUGUUACUCGAUUUCAAAAAUGCUGCCAUCUGUCCCUAUAGCAGGCUACGGAUCUUUCCCGCCUGUAUGAUGCUGGCUAGGGACCUUCUGGACAAUAUAUCCUACGAUAAAAUGUAGUUCGCAUGUGUUUCUUGAGAUUACAGUGUGGUUUUAGAAACAGGCAGAUGUGGCAGACAGGAAAAUGGGGAAAAGAGCGAGGCCAUUGAUUGGUCUUUUAUUCUAGGGCUUCGUUAACAAGCUUCUGGAGAGCACUGCAAUUCUUCAUGGUGUGCCAUUAAGUGUGUGCGGAAAACGUUUCAGAGUUUAAAAGCGGAUGGUUGCUUUUGCAAUCCUAAUGGAAAAUACUGAAAAUUUUAUUUCUACAUCUCCUGAGAGCACUAGUGGUCUGGCAGCACAGCAAGGUUAAUGACCAUCAUGCUCGCCUCCUCUGAGCUCUCAAAUUCUUUUCUAUCCGUUCAUCAACUUGGCAUCGAUCAAAGAAGGGCUUCAAUGCACUGUGAUUUGAUGGGAGCGGAAGGUGUGGACAAUAUGCUUGACGCCAGCCAGUGUGCCUAUGAUUUUUUUACUUUAAACAAUAUUGAUGAACAAAGCUGUUUACAAGCUUCAUCUUAAUUUUGGAAAGUAGGGGACACCUAAGUGGAUUGCUUUGUUUUGUUGUUGUUGAAUUGUCUCCAGUUUGGGCUCAUUAUGAGCUCAUUAGUAAUUUUUGUCAACCACUUUGAGGUAUAAUUUAGGUUUUUUAAACUAUGUUUUAAAGUACACUCCAUGGGAGUUCCCGUUGUGGCAUAGUGGUUAACGAGUCUGACUAGGAACCAUGAGGUUGUGGGUUCGAUCCCUGGCCUUGCUCAGUGGGUUAAGGAUCUGGCAUUGCCGUGAGCUGUGGUGUAGAUUGCAGAUGCAGCUCAGAUCCCAUGUUGCUGUGGCUCUGGUGUAGGCCAGUGGCUACAGCUCCGAUUCGACCCCUAGCCUGGGAACCUCCAUGUGCUGUAGGAGCAGCCCUAGAAAAGGCAAAAAGACAAAAAAUAAAUAGAUAAAUAAAAUAAAGUACACUCCAUGUGCACAACUCACUUGAAGCAUACAAUUCAGUACAUUUGAGCAUUUGACAUAUACCCCUGAAAACAAAACAAUAAACAGUGAUUAAAAAUGACUAUUAUCUGGAAAAGAAUAUAUCACUUUGCUAUACCUGAAAUUAACCCAAUACUCUAAAUCAAUUGUACAUCAAUAAAAAAUAAAGUUUAAAAGAAAGAAAAUGAUUAUUUCCUUCACUCAUCAAAAUAUUCCCCAGUAUACUUCACAGUUUAUCCUUCCUUCUGCCCUCAGUCCUAGGCUACAUACUAGUUUACAGUCUUGAAAAAUCUUACGUAAAUGGAAUCACACAAUCUAGUCCCCGCUGAGUCUUGCUCCUUUCACCAAAUAUAGUGAGGUGUGUGUUUGAUCCCUGAUCCAGCACAAUGGGUUAAAUGAUCUGGCACUGCCACAGGGGCAGUGUAGGUCGUAGCUACAGCUCCUAUUCAACCCCUGUCUCAGGAAUUUCAUUUUCCUGUUACUCCAGCUCACAGGGAAAUCUGUCAUAAAUUCUGUAUUAUGCAUUUGAUCCAUCAUCAAAUACUAUUUAUACAUCUUCUAUGUUACUGCCUUAUUUCAUUACUAAAGUUUUGUCACCUAACCUUUUAAAUGUCCAUAGAAGCCUCCUAAACUAGAACAGAAACUCCAAAUGGGCAGGGGUUUGUUUUUUAUUCCAUCUGAUGCUGGCUCCAAUACUCUAGUCAGGGCAAAUGUUUCACUGAUAUGAGAAAAAGAUAUUUAUUCAUUUUGUUCUGACAUUAUUCUCACCUCAAACCAAUUCAUUUAAACACCUCUUUCUUCCUGAAAUUAAGACUAUGCACAUGGGAGGGGAAAAGUAUGCCCUUAAUUAACAAAAAAAUGAAAAUGGGCAAAUCUAUGUCAGUCUAAUUUAAAAUUUUAUUUUAUAUAUUUUUUACAAAACCUAGGAGCUUCUAUCUUACACACAAACAUAUACACACACGUACACAAAUACCUAUGCAUAAUUCAAAACUAUGUCUUGAUCAAUGACUACGUGAGAAACAUGCUGAUUCCUUUAAACCACUGUUCACUCUUGAGCUGAAGUGGGAACAUUCUUCCAAAAGGUGGCUGCUGGGUGCGUUUUACAAUCCUGAUGGACACGUGAAAAAACAGGCCAAAUAGAAACCUUGCUAUAAGGCCAGUUUGGGACUGCUCAUGAGUCAUUAAACUGAAACUUCUUGAAAUCAGAAGUUCAACAGAGGUUAUUGGUACCAACCACACCCCACGUUCCUACUUCCAGCUUUGCAGAAGAGAAAGUUGGACCUUGGAGACCUAACCCAGCUAAAUGCAGCCAAAACAGGUUAGAAGCUGGGGCUUCACCUGUUUCUCUUC